AGGCGAGAGAGAAGAAGGACGGCCAUUUUCGCAAGUGCCAUGUUAUUUGUUUCUGGAGGAGCUGAAGUUUUAGAAAAGUGAUCAAAAGUUAAUGAAGACACUGAAGUUUUUCUUUGAGAACAUUCAAUAGAAGGACUGUAAUUGUUGAGUUGUGUUUGAUGAAGACGGGUGCCGAAUUCGUCGAGUUUUCUUUGUUGCAACCCUGUCUCGGUCAAGUUUUUUGUUGGAUUUGAAAAUCCUGGAAGAAGAUUCAUCGAUCUCAAUAGAUGGCGAGCCAACCCAUUUGAUUUCUGUCAUUGAAUCCUGUCCACUGAAGGAGCCGGAUACCCUUUCUGCUUUGUGGUAGGAUCGAACCACUCACUCCACUGGUCAUCACUCUUCGGAUAUCCACACACUGACUAUUGACUUGACUAACUUGACUUUACACUUAAACCAAGGAUUAGAAAAGGAACUUUUAACAUUUAAGGAAACACAGCCAGUCAACUGAAAGGACCAUUUCUUUUAUUUUCAAAGGGCCCAUUUUAUUUUCGUACAUGUGUAUUUGUACUUGGUUCAAUUAUACAUUUGGUUACUAAAGCACAAGUAACUUUAACCCUGGUGUGUGUCUGCUUAUUGCACUUGAACUCCCCUCCUCACGAACCUAGAGCGAAGGUGUACUUACCCAAGAGUGGGUUACACAAGGAGAGAAAUUAGAAAAAUGUGUUACAGCUCUGUCUGCUAUUUACACCCAUUCUUCUUGAUACAUAAUGAAUAAAUAUGAACAUUUAUAAAAUGUUUAUCAGUACAUUAGACUACUUUGCAAAUUGCUAAACCAUAUAAUAGCCUGUCCCACCAUCAUUAUUUAAAUAGCAUAAUGCUAGAAUUUAAAUGCAAAAAAAUGUCCAGCUCAGGUUCAGAUGAUUAAAGCUUUAUAGGCUAGGGAAUGUAAAACUUAAGUUCCAGUUUACACCAUUCAAAUUGUGAUAUCUUUUCUAGCUUUUGUAUCCAUUAUGUUCUAUAAAACAUGAUAUUAUAUUCUGCAGUGCAAAGAUGCCCACUAAAGACAUGUUUUAAAUAAAGUUAACACGUUUUCUGAAAA
This is a long non-coding RNA of Alosa alosa (allis shad), 1078 nucleotides long. RefSeq lists it as uncharacterized. The record is from RefSeq and is a predicted model, not a curated record. The transcript has 2 exons. Lineage: Eukaryota; Metazoa; Chordata; Actinopteri; Clupeiformes; Clupeidae.